This 253-nucleotide ribosomal RNA is filed under the name uncultured bacterium. RNAcentral describes it as "partial 16S ribosomal RNA". It matches the Rfam family "Bacterial small subunit ribosomal RNA", at positions 524 to 776 of the family's 1533-position model. The record is from RNAcentral.
UACGGAGGGUGCGAGCGUUGUUCGGAUUCAUUGGGCGUAAAGGGUGCGUAGGCGGUCGCGCAAGUCGGAUGUGAAAUCUCAGGGCUCAACCCUGAAACUGCAUUCGAUACUGCGUGGCUAGAGUGCUGGAGAGGAGACUGGAAUUUACGGUGUAGCAGUGAAAUGCGUAGAUAUCGUAAGGAAGACCAGUGGCGAAGGCGAGUCUCUGGACAGCAACUGACGCUGAGGCACGAAGGCCAGGGGAGCAAACGGG